Molecule: ribosomal RNA, 446 nt
Filed under: uncultured bacterium
Lineage: Bacteria
Description: bacterial SSU rRNA
Rfam family: Bacterial small subunit ribosomal RNA
Source: RNAcentral
UCGUCAGCUCGUGUCGUGAGAUGUUGGGUUAAGUCCCGCAACGAGCGCAACCCUUGUCCCUAGUUGCUACGCAAGAGCACUCUAGGGAGACUGCCGGUGACAAACCGGAGGAAGGUGGGGAUGACGUCAAGUCCUCAUGGCCCUUAUGGGUAGGGCUUCACACGUCAUACAAUGGUCGGAACAGAGGGUCGCCAACCCGCGAGGGGGAGCCAAUCCCAGAAAACCGAUCGUAGUCCGGAUCGCACUCUGCAACUCGAGUGCGUGAAGCUGGAAUCGCUAGUAAUCGCGGAUCAGCAUGCCGCGGUGAAUACGUUCCCGGGUCUUGUACACACCGCCCGUCACACCAUGGGAGUGGGUUUUACCAGAAGUGGCUAGUCUAACCGCAAGGAGGACGGUCACCACGGUAGGAUUCAUGACUGGGGUGAAGUCGUAACAAGGUAGCCGUA